This 74-nucleotide transfer RNA is filed under the name Bacillus phage BSP9. RNAcentral describes it as "tRNA-Asp". It matches the Rfam family "tRNA". Rfam says of the family: Transfer RNA (tRNA) molecules are approximately 80 nucleotides in length. RNAcentral also lists the same sequence under 13 other names. The record is from RNAcentral. Lineage: Duplodnaviria; Heunggongvirae; Uroviricota; Caudoviricetes; Herelleviridae.
UGGCUCCAUAGUGCAGCGGUUAACACGCCCGCCUGUCACGUGGGUAGCACGGGUUCGAAUCCCGUUGGAGCCGU